RNAcentral lists this ribosomal RNA (254 nucleotides) under uncultured bacterium. RNAcentral describes it as "partial 16S ribosomal RNA". It matches the Rfam family "Bacterial small subunit ribosomal RNA", at positions 524 to 776 of the family's 1533-position model. The record is from RNAcentral.
UACGGGGGGAGCAAGCGUUGUUCGGAUUUACUGGGCGUAAAGGGCGCGUAGGCGGUCAGCACAAGUCAGUUGUGAAAUCUCCGGGCUUAACUCGGAAAGGUCAACUGAUACUGUGCGACUAGAGUGCGGAAGGGGCAACUGGAAUUCCUGGUGUAGCGGUGAAAUGCGCAGAUAUCAGGAGGAACACCGGUGGCGAAGGCGGGUCUCUGGGCCGUAACUGACGCUGAGGAGCGAAAGCAUGGGGAGCGAACAGG